Molecule: small nuclear RNA, 124 nt
Filed under: Aotus nancymaae (Ma's night monkey)
Lineage: Eukaryota; Metazoa; Chordata; Mammalia; Primates; Aotidae
Description: U1 spliceosomal RNA (ENSANAG00000013084.1)
Rfam family: U1 spliceosomal RNA
About the family: U1 is a small nuclear RNA (snRNA) component of the spliceosome (involved in pre-mRNA splicing).
Source: RNAcentral
UAACUCAGGGAGAGGCUUGGAGGUGCUGAGAGAGAAAGACACCAGGAAAAGCGAUUUCCCCAAAUGUGGAAAACUCAACUGCAUAAUUUGUGGUAGUUGGGGACUGUGUUCUCGCUUUCCCCUG